GUGGGGAAUAUUGGACAAUGGGCGAAAGCCUGAUCCAGCAAUGCCGCGUGAGUGAUGAAGGCCUUAGGGUUAUAAAGCUCUUUUACCCGGGAUGAUAAUGACUGUACCGGGAGAAUAAGCUCCGGCUAACUCCGUGCCAGCAGCCGCGGUAAUACGGAGGGAGCUAGCGUUGUUCGGAAUUACUGGGCGUAAAGCGCACGUAGGCGGCUUUGUAAGUUAGAGGUGAAAGCCUGGAGCUUAACUACAGAACUGCCUUUAAGACUGCAUCGCUUGAAUCCAGGAGAGGUGAGUGGAAUUCCGAGUGUAGAGGUGAAAUUCGUAGAUAUUCGGAAGAACACCAGUGGCGAAGGCGGCUCACUGGACUGGUAUUGACGCUGAGGUGCGAAAGCGUGGGGAGCAAACAGGAUUAGAAACCCUAGUAGUCC
RNAcentral lists this ribosomal RNA (425 nucleotides) under uncultured bacterium. RNAcentral describes it as "bacterial SSU rRNA". It matches the Rfam family "Bacterial small subunit ribosomal RNA", at positions 354 to 796 of the family's 1533-position model. The record is from RNAcentral.